CCUACGGGCGGCAGCAGUAGGGAAUCUUUCACAAUGGGCGAAAGCCUGAUGGAGCAACGCCGCGUGCAGGAUGAAGGCCUUCGGGUUGUAAACUGCUUUUAUAAGCGAGAAAUAUGAUGGUAACUUAUGAAUAAGGAUCGGCUAACUACGUGCCAGCAGCCGCGGUCAUACGUAGGAUCCGAGCAUUAUCCGGAGUGACUGGGUGUAAAGAGUUGCGUAGGUGGCAUAAUAAGUAGCUAGUGAAAUCUGGUGGCUCAACCAUUCAGACUAUUAGCUAAACUGUUAAGCUCGAGACCGUUAGAGGUAACUGGAAUUUCUAGUGUAGGAGUGAAAUCCGUAGAUAUUAGAAGGAACACCAAUAGCGUAGGCAGGUUGCUGGGACGGUUCUGACACUAAGGCACGAAAGCGUAGGGAGCAAACAGGAUUAGAUACCCGAGUAGUC
Molecule: ribosomal RNA, 442 nt
Filed under: uncultured bacterium
Lineage: Bacteria
Description: partial 16S ribosomal RNA
Rfam family: Bacterial small subunit ribosomal RNA
Source: RNAcentral